This 107-nucleotide small nuclear RNA is filed under the name Chinchilla lanigera (long-tailed chinchilla). Lineage: Eukaryota; Metazoa; Chordata; Mammalia; Rodentia; Chinchillidae. The record is from RNAcentral.
GUGCUCACUUCAGCAGUACUUACACUAAAAUUGAAAUGAUACAGAGAAGAUUAACAUGGUUCCUGCACAAAGAUGAUACGUAAAUUCGUGAAGCAUUCCACAUUUUA